RNAcentral lists this ribosomal RNA (1370 nucleotides) under uncultured bacterium. RNAcentral's name for it is "bacterial SSU rRNA". It matches the Rfam family "Bacterial small subunit ribosomal RNA", at positions 28 to 1381 of the family's 1533-position model. The record is from RNAcentral.
GAUGAACGCUGGCGGCGUGCCUAAUACAUGCAAGUCGAGCGAACGGACGAGAAGCUUGCUUCUCUGAUGUUAGCGGCGGACGGGUGAGUAACACGUGGAUAACCUACCUAUAAGACUGGGAUAACUUCGGGAAACCGGAGCUAAUACCGGAUAAUAUUUUGAACCGCAUGGUUCAAAAGUGAAAGACGGUCUUGCUGUCACUUAUAGAUGGAUCCGCGCUGCAUUAGCUAGUUGGUAAGGUAACGGCUUACCAAGGCAACGAUGCAUAGCCGACCUGAGAGGGUGAUCGGCCACACUGGAACUGAGACACGGUCCAGACUCCUACGGGAGGCAGCAGUAGGGAAUCUUCCGCAAUGGGCGAAAGCCUGACGGAGCAACGCCGCGUGAGUGAUGAAGGUCUUCGGAUCGUAAAACUCUGUUAUUAGGGAAGAACAUAUGUGUAAGUAACUGUGCACAUCUUGACGGUACCUAAUCAGAAAGCCACGGCUAACUACGUGCCAGCAGCCGCGGUAAUACGUAGGUGGCAAGCGUUAUCCGGAAUUAUGGGCGUAAAGCGCGCGUAGGCGGUUUUUUAGUCUGAUGUGAAAGCCCACGGCUCAACCGUGGAGGGUCAUUGGAAACUGGAAAACUUGAGUGCAGAAGAGGAAAGUGGAAUUCCAUGUGUAGCGGUGAAAUGCGCAGAGAUAUGGAGGAACACCAGUGGCGAAGGCGACUUUCUGGUCUGUAACUGACGCUGAUGUGCGAAAGCGUGGUGAUCAAACAGGAUUAGAUACCCUGGUAGUCCACGCCGUAAACGAUGAGUGCUAAGUGUUAGGGGGUUUCCGCCCCUUAGUGCUGCAGCUAACGCAUUAAGCACUCCGCCUGGGGAGUACGACCGCAAGGUUGAAACUCAAAGGAAUUGACGGGGACCCGCACAAGCGGUGGAGCAUGUGGUUUAAUUCGAAGCAACGCGAAGAACCUUACCAAAUCUUGACAUCCUUUGACAACUCUAGAGAUAGAGCCUUCCCCUUCGGGGGACAAAGUGACAGGUGGUGCAUGGUUGUCGUCAGCUCGUGUCGUGAGAUGUUGGGUUAAGUCCCGCAACGAGCGCAACCCUUAAGCUUAGUUGCCAUCAUUAAGUUGGGCACUCUAAGUUGACUGCCGGUGACAAACCGGAGGAAGGUGGGGAUGACGUCAAAUCAUCAUGCCCCUUAUGAUUUGGGCUACACACGUGCUACAAUGGACAAUACAAAGGGCAGCGAAACCGCGAGGUCAAGCAAAUCCCAUAAAGUUGUUCUCAGUUCGGAUUGUAGUCUGCAACUCGACUACAUGAAGCUGGAAUCGCUAGUAAUCGUAGAUCGGCAUGCUACGGUGAAUACGUUCCCGGGUCU